UGUAUUUUCAUCAGAAAGAGGAACAACGUGAUGUAAAUAUGAGAUGGGACCUCAUCCUUGGUGCACUUCCUGUCUACCUGCAUGAAGAUUCUUUAAGUUCUUCAGGACCUGUAAUUCAGGAGUUGGUCCAGACCUCACCGAUACUCCAGUGGCUCUCCUGACAGUCGUAACGGAUAACACUACUGAUGCAGCCCUCUUCUGCCCUGAGAGUAUCUGUCGUGAAGGAUAAAACACUUGCAAGCUCCU
Non-coding RNA from Pimephales promelas (fathead minnow), 246 nucleotides. NCBI's taxonomy places the organism in Eukaryota, Metazoa, Chordata, Actinopteri, Cypriniformes, Leuciscidae. The record is from RefSeq and is a predicted model, not a curated record.